GGCUAGGACGAACGCUGGCGGCGUGCCUAAUACAUGCAAGUCGAACGGAGUUAAGGGCUUCGGCUUUAACUUAGUGGCGAACGGGUGAGUAACGCGUGAGCAACCUGACUCAAAGAGGGGGACAACAGCUGGAAACGGCUGCUAAUACCGCAUAAGACCACAAUGUGGCAUCACGAAGGGGUCAAAGAAAUUCGCUUUGAGAGGGGCUCGCGUCCCAUUAGAUAGUUGGUGAGGUAACGGCCCACCAAGUCCGCGAUGGGUAGCCGAGCUGAGAGGCUGAUCGGCCACACUGGAACUGAGACACGGUCCAGACUCCUACGGGAGGCAGCAGUAGGGAAUAUUGGGCAAUGGGCGCAAGCCUGACCCAGCAACGCCGCGUGAGGGAAGAAGGUUUUCGGAUUGUAAACCUCUGUCCUAUGUGACGAAGGAAGUGACGGUAGCAUAGGAGGAAGCCCCGGCUAACUACGUGCCAGCCGCCGC
Molecule: ribosomal RNA, 480 nt
Filed under: uncultured bacterium
Lineage: Bacteria
Description: bacterial SSU rRNA
Rfam family: Bacterial small subunit ribosomal RNA
Source: RNAcentral